UACGUAGGGCGCGAGCGUUGUCCGGAAUCAUUGGGCGUAAAGAGCUCGUAGGCGGCCGGUUGCGUCUGCUGUGAAAUCCCGGGGCUUAACCCCGGGCGUGCAGUGGAUACGGGCUGGCUGGAGGCAGGCAGGGGAGAAUGGAAUUCCCGGUGUAGCGGUGAAAUGCGCAGAUAUCUGGAGGAACACCGGUGGCGAAGGCGGCAUCCUGGACCAACACUGACACUGAGGAGCGAAAGCCAGGGGAGCAAACGGG
RNAcentral lists this ribosomal RNA (253 nucleotides) under uncultured bacterium. Its description in RNAcentral is "partial 16S ribosomal RNA". It matches the Rfam family "Bacterial small subunit ribosomal RNA", at positions 524 to 776 of the family's 1533-position model. The record is from RNAcentral.